UUGGCCCAGAUCGUUUACCGUGAAAAAAUUAGAGUGUUCAAAGCAGGCAGAUCCAAUUUUCUGCCACCGAAUACAUUAGCAUGGGAUAAUGGAAUAGGACCCUGUCCUCCUAUUUUCAGUUGGUUUUGGCAGCGCGAGGACUAGGGUAAUGAUUAAUAGGGAUAGUUGGGGGCAUUAAUAUUUAAUUGUCAGAGGUGAAAUUCUUGGAUUUAUGAAAGAUUAACUUCUGCGAAAGCAUCUGCCAAGGAUGUUUUCAUUAAUCAAGAACGAAAGUUAGGGGAUCGAAGACGAUCAGAUACCGUCGUAGUCUUAACCAUAAACGAUGCCGACCAGCGAUUAGGAGACGUUGAAUACAAAACACCACCAUCGGUGCGGUCAUCCUUGGCGUUGGUCUUCAAAAGCCAGCGCGGGGGUGGCUUAGCCCGGUGGCACCGGUGAAUGACUCCCCUAGCAGCUUGUGAGAGA
RNAcentral lists this ribosomal RNA (465 nucleotides) under Acanthamoeba sp. RNAcentral's name for it is "SSU rRNA". It matches the Rfam family "Eukaryotic small subunit ribosomal RNA", at positions 738 to 1097 of the family's 1831-position model. Lineage: Eukaryota; Discosea; Longamoebia; Acanthamoebidae. The record is from RNAcentral.